GCUACAGGUUUCGAUUCCUGAUUCAAUCACAGGCACAAGCUUCCCUGCCCUGUCUCAUCAUCGGGAGCACCUGGUUUUCCGGGAUUUCUGUGCUGCAGCAGGGCAAAUCCUUUUAUAAGGCUAAUGAAACCUCAUCCAUUGGUCUGAACGCAGUCGUGACCUUAUUGCAUAUGACCUGCAGCCCUACAAUAUCAUAGUAGUGCAGGGAAGUGUUGCCAUACCAGCCCAAGAAAGAA
Aquila chrysaetos chrysaetos is the source of this 236-nucleotide long non-coding RNA. RefSeq lists it as uncharacterized. Lineage: Eukaryota; Metazoa; Chordata; Aves; Accipitriformes; Accipitridae. The transcript is spliced from 3 exons. The record is from RefSeq and is a predicted model, not a curated record.